Molecule: ribosomal RNA, 442 nt
Filed under: uncultured Piscirickettsiaceae bacterium
Lineage: Bacteria; Pseudomonadati; Pseudomonadota; Gammaproteobacteria; Thiotrichales; Piscirickettsiaceae
Description: bacterial SSU rRNA
Rfam family: Bacterial small subunit ribosomal RNA
Source: RNAcentral
UACCAUCCCUUGACAUGUAGAGAACUUUCUAGAGAUAGAUUGGUGCCUUCGGGAACUCUAACACAGGUGCUGCAUGGCUGUCGUCAGCUCGUGUCGUGAGAUGUUGGGUUAAGUCCCGCAACGAGCGCAACCCUUAUCAUUAGUUGCUAACAUUUAGUUGAGAACUCUAAUGAGACUGCCGGUGAUAAACCGGAGGAAGGCGGGGACGACGUCAAGUCAUCAUGGCCCUUAUGGGAUGGGCUACACACGUGCUACAAUGGGGGGUACAAAGAGCAGCCAACUGGCAACAGUGCGCGAAUCUCAAAAAACCCUUCGUAGUCCGGAUUGGAGUCUGCAACUCGACUCCAUGAAGUNGGAAUCGCUAGUAAUCGCGGAUCAGAAUGCCGCGGUGAAUACGUUCCCGGGCCUUGUACACACCGCCCGUCACACCAUGAGAUGUUGA